Molecule: ribosomal RNA, 301 nt
Filed under: uncultured bacterium
Lineage: Bacteria
Description: partial 16S ribosomal RNA
Rfam family: Bacterial small subunit ribosomal RNA
Source: RNAcentral
CAGUCGCCGCGGGAAUACGAAGGUCCCGAGCGUUGUUCGGAAUCACUGGGCGUAAAGGGAGCGUAGGCGGCGUGGUAAGUCAGAUGUGAAAUCCCGGGGCUCAACCCCGGAACUGCAUCCGAUACUGCCGUGCUAGAGGAUUGGAGAGGUAGCUGGAAUUCUUGGUGUAGCAGUGAAAUGCGUGGAGAUCAAGAGGAACACUCGUGGCGAAAGCGAGCUACUGGACAAUAUCUGACGCUGAGGCUCGAAGGCCAGGGUAGCGAAAGGGACUAGAUACCCCUGUAGUCCCUGUCUCUUAUAC